GGUUGACUAGGAACACUACUCAAGGACAAUCUGUUCAUUCCAGAAAUCAACAGAGGGGACCUUUGACGCACCCCAUCCAAGGGAAAUAUCUCCUCUCUUUGGCCUAGAUUAUGAUUGAGGGAGAUGGUGGCACAGUGGUAACGUGACCAGACUAGCUGUGGAGACUCACAUGAGCAUGCGGUGGAAAUCAGGUCUUCAGAGUCAACCUGGG
Molecule: long non-coding RNA, 211 nt
Organism: Stegostoma tigrinum
Lineage: Eukaryota; Metazoa; Chordata; Chondrichthyes; Orectolobiformes; Stegostomatidae
Exons: 3
Source: RefSeq, a predicted model, not a curated record